GCGUGAGCCAUCCGGUGGAGUGAUCAGAAGUGAGAAUGUUGACAUGAGUAGCGACAAACAGGGUGAGAGACCCUGUCGCCGAAAGUCCAAGGGUUCCUGCUUAAAGCUAAUCUGAGCAGGGUAAGCCGGCCCCUAAGACGAGCCCGAAGGGGGUAGUCGAUGGGAACCACGUUAAUAUUCGUGGGCCUGGAGGUGUGUGACGGAUGGCGUAAAUUGUCAGGGCUUAUUGGAUUGCUCCUGGCAGUGAAGUUGUCCCAGGAAAUAGCCCCUCCGUAUAGACCGUACCCUAAACCGACACAGGUGGACUGGUAGAGAAUACCAAGGCGCUUGAGAGAACCACAUUUAAGGAACUCGGCAAAAUACCUCCGUAAGUUCGCGAGAAGGAGGCCCGAUUGGUGCGCAAGCAUUGGUCGGGGGCACAAACCAGGGGGUGGCGACUGUUUACUAAAAACACAGGGCUCUGCGAAGCCGUAAGGCGACGUAUAGGGUCUGACGCCUGCCCGGUGCCGGAAGGUUAAAAGGAGAUGUGCAAGCAUUGAAUUGAAGCCCCGGUAAACGGCGGCCGUAACGAUAACGGUCCUAAGGUAGCG
This 590-nucleotide ribosomal RNA is filed under the name uncultured Isochrysis. RNAcentral's name for it is "partial Bacterial large subunit ribosomal RNA". It matches the Rfam family "Bacterial large subunit ribosomal RNA", at positions 1261 to 1961 of the family's 2925-position model. Lineage: Eukaryota; Haptophyta; Isochrysidales. The record is from RNAcentral.